GAUUUCGUAGCUCAAUGGGUUAGAGUAUCGGUUUCGCAUAAGCCGAAGGUUGAAGGUUCGAGUCCUUCCGAAAUUA
This 76-nucleotide transfer RNA is filed under the name Exiguobacterium sp. SL14. Its description in RNAcentral is "tRNA-Ala". It matches the Rfam family "tRNA". Rfam says of the family: Transfer RNA (tRNA) molecules are approximately 80 nucleotides in length. Their secondary structure includes four short double-helical elements and three loops (D, anti-codon, and T loops). Further hydrogen bonds mediate the characteristic L-shaped molecular structure. tRNAs have two regions of fundamental functional importance: the anti-codon, which is responsible for specific mRNA codon recognition, and the 3' end, to which the tRNAs corresponding amino acid is attached (by aminoacyl-tRNA synthetases). tRNAs cope with the degeneracy of the genetic code in two manners: having more than one tRNA (with a specific anti-codon) for a particular amino acid; and 'wobble' base-pairing, i.e. permitting non-standard base-pairing at the 3rd anti-codon position. The record is from RNAcentral. Lineage: Bacteria; Bacillati; Bacillota; Bacilli; Caryophanales.